Paramuricea clavata is the source of this 415-nucleotide non-coding RNA. The record is from the annotation of a GenBank genome assembly. NCBI's taxonomy places the organism in Eukaryota, Metazoa, Cnidaria, Anthozoa, Malacalcyonacea, Plexauridae.
UUAACAUAUAUGUAAUACUUAUUUAUAUUUUUGUAUAAUAUUAAUUACUAAAGAUGUGUAAUAACAUGAUUGUGGUAUGUUAUCUUUUUUUGCAGGAUUUAUCUGUUUAAUACAGGUACCAGAAGAGAUGGCACAGGAUGCCAAAAUGGAGAAGAACAAAUUGAAGUUAUGAUAAUAAUUAGUCACUCACCAAUUACUGUAGUCAAGUAUAAUUAUGGUGCAACUCUUUUUUAUUGACAAUAAAGAGUACUACACACAGUGACAUUUAAUUUUUUAAUUCACACUACAUUAAAUUUAAAUGUACAUCUUGUGUCUAAAUGUAGUAUGUACAUGCUUGUACAAUUGUACAGCAGGGACUGAGAGAGCAGAAAAGAAAGUUAGUUAUUAUAUUGUAUUAAAAUAUAUUCAAAGCACC